UACGUAGGGUGCGUGCGUUAAUCGGAUUUACUGGGCGUAAAGCGUGCGCAGGCGGCCCGUUAAGACAGGUGUGAAAUCCCUGGGCUCAACCUAGGAAUUGCGCUUGUGACUGGCGGGCUCGAGUACGGUAGAGGGGGGUGGAAUUCCUGGUGUAGGAGUGAAAUCCGUAGAGAUCAGGAGGAACACCGAUGGCGAAGGCAGCCCCCUGGGCCUGUACUGACGCUCAUGCACGAAAGCGUGGGGAGCAAACAGG
This 253-nucleotide ribosomal RNA is filed under the name uncultured microorganism. RNAcentral's name for it is "partial 16S ribosomal RNA". It matches the Rfam family "Bacterial small subunit ribosomal RNA", at positions 524 to 776 of the family's 1533-position model. The record is from RNAcentral.